CCCAUUAAUAAGCGGAGGAAAAGAAACUAACAAGGAUUCCCCUAGUAACUGCGAGUGAAGCGGGAAAAGCUCAAAUUUAAAAUCUGGCGGUUCUGCCGCCCGAGUUGUAAUCUGGAGAAGCGUUUUCUGUGCUGGACCGUGUACAAGUCUCUUGGAACAGAGCGUCAUAGAGGGUGAGAAUCCCGUCCAUGACACGGACGCCCAGUGCUAUGUGAUACGUUUUCAAAGAGUCGAGUUGUUUGGGAAUGCAGCUCAAAAUGGGUGGUAAGCUCCAUCUAAAGCUAAAUAUUGGCGAAAGACCGAUAGCGAACAAGUACCGUGAGGGAAAGAUGAAAAGCACUUUGGAAAGAGAGUUAAACAGUACGUGAAAUUGUUGAAAGGGAAACGCUUGAAGUUAGUCGCGUCUUACUUGACUCAGCCUUGCCUCGGCUUGGUGUAUUUCAUGUGAGACGGGUCAACAUCGAUUUUGACCGGCAGAGAAGGGGAGCGAGAAUGUGGCAUUCUUCGGAGUGUGUUAUAGCUUACUCUCAUAUGUGUCGGUUGGGAUCGAGGCCCGCAGCGCGCCCUUGUGGCCGGAGGUUCGUCUUACGUUACGCGCUUGGGAUGUUGGCAUAAUGGCUUUAAGCGACCCGUUUUGAAACA
This 642-nucleotide ribosomal RNA is filed under the name Sanghuangporus johnsonianus. RNAcentral's name for it is "partial 28S ribosomal RNA". It matches the Rfam family "Eukaryotic large subunit ribosomal RNA", at positions 39 to 661 of the family's 3401-position model. Lineage: Eukaryota; Fungi; Basidiomycota; Agaricomycetes; Hymenochaetales; Hymenochaetaceae. The record is from RNAcentral.